This is a long non-coding RNA of Etheostoma spectabile (orangethroat darter), 124 nucleotides long. RefSeq lists it as uncharacterized. The record is from RefSeq and is a predicted model, not a curated record. The transcript is spliced from 4 exons. NCBI's taxonomy places the organism in Eukaryota, Metazoa, Chordata, Actinopteri, Perciformes, Percidae.
UUUUUGUCAAAGCACCAAUUGUCAACCCUAUAAUAUCGCCACAAUAUCGUCAUUGAGGUAUUAGGACAAGAAUAUCGCAAUAUCUGAUUUAUUCCAUAUCGCCCAGCCCUAACUGUAUGUAUGC